Long non-coding RNA from Drosophila santomea, 558 nucleotides. RefSeq lists it as uncharacterized. The record is from RefSeq and is a predicted model, not a curated record. The transcript has 4 exons. NCBI's taxonomy places the organism in Eukaryota, Metazoa, Arthropoda, Insecta, Diptera, Drosophilidae.
GGAGGAUUUACCGGACAUCACCCAUUAUCGAUACGUCAGCGUCGCUCCAGACGACUACGACGGCUCCAUCUCCCUUACAGUGAACACUCACUCAAACAUUCUGGCUGUAAUCAACCUUUUUCGUCAACUGCUUAUGAAACGGUAAAAGCGACAAGUCUAGAAAGCCUUUAAGACAGCGCCUAAAAUUGCCCUCAAUUGGCGGUGCUUUUAAAGACGGUUUCUAAAACGGACGUUUACAUACCUAAUCCUGAGGAGCUCCAAGGGACAAGAAGGGAUGUGCGAAUCAAACCGGCAAUGUUCCACGACGACGACAAUUCGGGCUCGCGUUUGACUCCGGAUUGAUUAACCAAGAUCGAGCCCCAGGACUAGCAAUCGACGACUGUCGAAGGAAAUUGCGGCUCCAAUGAACAUGGCCCUCCCCGCGCUCAGUAAAUAGUAGGCUUGGAACGGACACACCGGCGAUAUCGGGAUCGUUCCCGGGAGGAUGGUGGAUUUGGAUCUUACUCCGUAAUGCCUGGCGGGCGGGUAAGUUCUCCCAAUAUGAAUGAAUUCCAAAGC